This 253-nucleotide ribosomal RNA is filed under the name uncultured bacterium. RNAcentral describes it as "partial 16S ribosomal RNA". It matches the Rfam family "Bacterial small subunit ribosomal RNA", at positions 524 to 776 of the family's 1533-position model. The record is from RNAcentral.
CACGGGGGGAGCAAGCGUUGUUCGGAAUCACUGGGCGUAAAGGGCGUGUAGGCGGUCAAGUAAGUGGAAUGUGAAAGCCCCCGGCUUACCCGGGGAUCUGCAUCCCAAACUGCUUGGCUUGAGUAUGGGAGAGGAUGAGGGAAUUCCUGGUGUAGCGGUGAAAUGCGUAGAUAUCAUGAGGAAUACCAGAGGCGAAGGCGGCUCCCUGGACAAUUGCUGACACUCAGGCACGAAAGCGUGGGGAGCAAAAGGG